AACGUAGGGGACGAGCGUUAUCCGGAUUUACUGGGCGUAAAGCGCCCGUAGGCGGCUUUGUAAGUUGGACGUGAAAGCUCCCGGCUUAACUGGGAGAGGCCGUUCAAAGCUGUAAGGCUAGAGUGAGGCAGAGGAGCGCGGAAUUCCCGGUGUAGUGGUGGAAUGCGUAGAUAACGGGAGGAACACCAGUGGCGAAAGCGGCGCUCUGGGCCUAAACUGACGCUGAGGGGCGAAAGCGUGGGGAGCGAACGGG
RNAcentral lists this ribosomal RNA (253 nucleotides) under uncultured bacterium. RNAcentral's name for it is "partial 16S ribosomal RNA". It matches the Rfam family "Bacterial small subunit ribosomal RNA", at positions 524 to 776 of the family's 1533-position model. The record is from RNAcentral.